Molecule: long non-coding RNA, 891 nt
Organism: Manihot esculenta (cassava)
Lineage: Eukaryota; Viridiplantae; Streptophyta; Magnoliopsida; Malpighiales; Euphorbiaceae
Exons: 3
Source: RefSeq, a predicted model, not a curated record
UCUGACGGAUUUGCGACGGAUUAGCGACGGAUUUUUAAAAUAUUAGCGACGGAAUUUAUUCCGUCGCUAAUCCGUCAGAAAAUGCAAAAAAAUAUUUAAAAACCUAAUCCAUCUCUUUCGGGACUCUUUUUGAUUUCAGCCACCAUUUUCCUCUCCUCUCUUCUCCUCUCUUCUCCUUAUCGCUCCAUCCUUCUUCUUGCCGCCGUCGCCGUCGCCGCCUCCAUCGCCGCCGCCACUGUCGUUCCCGGGCUAUCGCGCGUUGCUGCGCCUCUCUGUAGCUGUUGCUGUUGCCGCGGCUGUGCCGCCAUUGCUGGAGCUGCCACCGCUGCCGCCACCACCGUUGCCACUCACCGCCGUUGCAACUGCCAAUCGUCGCCACUCCAUAAUAUAUUUAUCAUGUCGGUAGAUCGUAGAUGGAUGUAUGAGCGACUAGAUGAAAAUGGCUUUCUUAAUUCUGAAUUUGAGAUUGGGGUGGAGACAUUUCAACAAGUGCAACAACCACUUGAAGUGGUGGAAGAUGAAGAUGAGGAUGUAGAGGAAGAGGAAGAGGGAGAGGAUGAAGAAGAGGAAGAAGACACUGAAGAGUCAGAUGACGAUUUAGAAGUUGAUGGUAUUGAUAGUGAUGAUGAUGUCAACUUAGAAGAUGAUUCUGAAUGAUACAUUAUGCCUCGAAGAGCAGUAUCAUCUAGAGGUAGAGGACAUAGCCAGCAGCUCUCUAUGAAUGAAACAAAUAAUCCAACUGCAGAUUGUACUUCUCUAUCAGAUGAUUCAACAAAUUCAUAGAUUAGUUUUUAGUUUUAUGAAUAUUGUUAAGUAUUAUUCAUUUAUUUUAAAUUUUAUGACGAUUGUUAAGUAUUAUUAUGAACAUUGUUAAAUAUUAUGGAUUUAUUU